AAAAAAAAAAAAGGAAAACUUUUUUGAGGUUUCUGGGAGAUUUAAAUGUCCAAAAAGUGUCUAACACAAGAACGUUGGCCUUCUAGACAUUUUCAUGCUUCCUAGGUGUUUGUUUUCAUUUAUAACCAAUUAAAUAUGAAAUUCAGUAAACGGACCUAUCUUAUGCCAAAAUACCUAAUUCUGCCCCAUUGAGUGAAAUGGCAAGAAAAUUGCAGUAUAAGAGGCAAGGUAGAAAUAGAGGAUCCCUGCUAAAAAAAUCAUUAUGGCCAGAGCAGAACAAUAUUAACAACCUUAAACAUAGUUAUUAAGGCGAAAGGCGA
Molecule: unclassified non-coding RNA, 320 nt
Filed under: Hevea brasiliensis (rubber tree)
Lineage: Eukaryota; Viridiplantae; Streptophyta; Magnoliopsida; Malpighiales; Euphorbiaceae
Source: RNAcentral